This 1994-nucleotide non-coding RNA is filed under the name Pongo abelii (Sumatran orangutan). Lineage: Eukaryota; Metazoa; Chordata; Mammalia; Primates; Hominidae. The record is from RNAcentral.
UUGUCAAAAUGUUACCAUUAUUGCUGGGAUUCUAAGAAAUCUCUACAAAUGCCUCUGAUGACAUCAGAAACAAUUGGUUCUAAUCCUGUGAACUCUCUUGUGAAGAAAGCAUGAGACUCCUUCGGUUUAGAAGCCAUAUCUUUCAGGUCAUCCAGAGGUGCCCAAGCCACACCAACAGAGAAGACAGUGAUUCCUACAAUGAAAACAUUUUAAAGUGAAUUAAAAAUCAGGUCUAGCUAAUAUAUGGAGUUAUGUCUAUAUGUUUUCCAUACAUUGUUACAUAGUUGCAGCGAAAACUGCUUACUAAUUUCUGGACAAUUAAAUCCCCUGAACAAAUAAGUUUUCACAGUCAUUGUGACAAAGGCGUGGCAAAAGAGUGGUCCAAACCAGAAACUCUGCUAUAUCUGUAACUCACCACAUUAACAGUGAAGGCAGAUGGUGAAAAUUUUCCAUAUGAGGUUGGCCUGCAUCAAACAGUAUACUGGAGUCAGAGUCACAAUCCAUUAAAGCAAGGAAGAAUGGCACAAGAGAUGGGAUAAAACAAGGACCUUACCUGCAUCAUGUGCAGCAGCUGCAGGGCCUUGGACAUCAUCAUAGGACUGCCCAUCUGUGACAAUUACUAGGAAGUUCUUGUUGGGGCUCUCCCUUAUAGGGCCAAACACAUUUCUAACAGUAAAGGAAAUGGCAUCACCAGUAGCUGUUCCACCACUCAUAUAGCGGAUGUUUCUGAUAGCAGCUAGGACAUUCUCUUUGGUGCUAUAGUCAGUGAAACUGAACUCUGUGCGCUGAUCAUAAGUAAACUGUACAGCAGCUAUCUUGGCACCAAUGUCCGAGAUUUCAAAAGUCUUGGCUAUGUUGGAAACAAAUUCAAGCAUGAGGCGGAAAUUGCUAUCUCCAACACUGCUGGAGCCAUCAAUUAGAAAGGCAAUGUUCACUGAGUUAUAACAGGUCUUGCUGCACAUCAUUUGUUCAUGAGUGCACAGCUUCUGUACCAGAGGCUUUACGUAUUUUGUGGUGCCAAACCAGUUGGGCAUGUGGUAAGAGAAGAAGCCAUUAUUCCGACAGACAGCCUAAUGGGGGAGACACAUAAAAGAUAUCCAAAAGGAUCAAAAGUUGUUUCUUCUUAAAAACAGGAAAAUCCUGAAUGUUACAAGUUAAUCUAAAUAACAGGCAGUCAGCACUGCACUUAGAGGUCCAAAACGGAAUACCCAUCACUGUAACAGAAGAUAACCCUCCCCACUUUACCUUGUCAACAAAUGUGACAUCCUGAACCAUCCCCAGCUCUUCAGGGAUAGGCUUGGCCACAGAAACUAUAAAUACAUUGACGCCAAACUCUCUGGCCACAAUGCCUGCUUCCUCGAUGUCAUCAGAAGGCCAACCGUCAAUAAAUACCACCACCACUUUGGGGAUCCCUUUUCUUACUCCAGCAUCUACCGUGAAGAAUUUCUGAGCAGUAUCAAAGUCUACUUACCUGUAUUGGAAUUACCCCCUCUGAAACCUACUUCCUUUAUGGCAAACAAAACAUCUUUGGCUGAUGUAAAGUUUUUCAAGUAAAAUUCUAUUUUGGGUUGUUCACUGAGUGGAAGAAAGAAAAUAUUAUUCAGGGAGAAUUAAAAAGAUGAGAAAAUUAAAGCCGUGGGGUUAAUUUGCCCAAACAACAUUCUACAACUCCCGAAGGACAGAAAACAGAAAAGUGAAUCCCUUCAGAGUAGAGCAUUUUUAUCUUAAUUAAACCUGAUUAUUUCUGCUCCAGAUCUGUCCAAAGAGAUUUAUCAAGCAGCGGAUGCAUUUUUGGAAAGCACUGUUAAUAUUCUCAAGUUUUACACUGUCAGCCUAACAAAGAAUCAAAGUUUUUGCUAUAAAUGAUGCUAGGAAGAGACAAGCUCUUGGCAACAAGUAACAAGAUAACAUAAUACAACAUGUUAAUUUGUGAAUUUACUGUCGAUACUAAAUUGAGAUUAAUGUUAUUAAAUGCUAUUUUUCAAACAUGGGAA